Long non-coding RNA from Gasterosteus aculeatus aculeatus (three-spined stickleback), 3085 nucleotides. The record is from Ensembl. NCBI's taxonomy places the organism in Eukaryota, Metazoa, Chordata, Actinopteri, Perciformes, Gasterosteidae.
GGGGUUGACGGAUGGGGUUGAAGGAUGGGGGUUGAAGGAUGGGGGUUGAAAGAUGGGGUUGAAGGAUGGGGUUGAAGGAUGGGGGUUGAAGGAUGUGGGUUGAAGGAUGGAAGUUGAAGGAUGGGGUUGAGGGAUGGGGGUUGAAGGAUGGAAGUUGAAGGAUGGGCUUGAGGGAUGGGGGUGAAGGAUGGGUUGAGGGAUGGGGGUUGAAGGAUAGGGUUGAGGGAUGGGGGUUGACGGAUAGGGUUGAGGGAUGGGGGUGAAGGAUGGGGGUUGAAGGAUGGGUUGAGGGCUGGUUGAAGGAUGGGGUUGAGGGAUGGGGGUUGAAGGAUAGGGUUGAGGGAUGGGGUUUGUUGAAGGAUGGGGGUUGAAGGAUGGGGUUGAGGGAUGGGGGUUGAAGGAUGGGGGUUGAAGGAUGGGGUUGAGGGGAUGGGGGUUGAAGGAUGGGGGUUGAAGGAUGGGGUUGAGGGAUGGGGGGUUGAAGGAUGGGGUUGAGGGAUAGGGGUGAAGGAUGGAGGUUGAAGGAUGGGGUUGAAGGAUGGGGUUGAGGGAUAGGGUUGAAGGAUGGGGGUUGAAGGAUGGGGUUGAAGGAUGGGGUUGAGGGAUAGGGGUUGAAGGAUGGGGUUGAAGGAUGGGGGUUGAAGGAUGGGGUUGAGGGAUGGGGGUUGAAGGAUGGGGUUGAAGGAUCGGAUAGGACGAGGAUUUAAGCGAGCUUUCGUUCAGAGAACGGUGGACGUUCAAUAUAAGUAGCUGGUGUUAAGCAUAUUAAAGAUCCAUAUGAGGUCAAACUCAUGGAUGAGAUGAGACUCAAAGACUCACUCAUCGGUCAAAAGUUAUAAUCAAAGUGAUUUUUAUAGGGUUCUGCGAUGAAAGCUUGGAAUUUAAACACCCACACACGUUAUGCCUCAGAGCAGUGAUGAGAGCAAAUCAAUGUUGGAACAAAACACCUCUCAAACGCACAGAAAACCACAGCUUGAGAACCUGGAUCUCAAAUUCAAUCAUCAAAGGAAAUGGAGCUUGACAACAUAAUGGAAGGAACCGAAGGUGGUAAUUAUACAGUGAAAUUAUUUAAUGUGCCUCUCUAAGAAUCAUAUGCAGCAUUUGAGAGCACGGAUCCAAAAUGAUUGAAUUACCAACUUAUAAUUUCUCUGAUGAGUCAGUGGACGGAGGAAACUCUGUGCUGAAGAAGAAUAAUUUGAUGAUUUAAAGUAAUUGUCGGUUGAGCUCGUCAUCAUAAUUGCAGCCGUUGAGGAUUACAAGGACAAUAGUGUAGAUUAUGACACAUUGAUAAUGACAAAGAUUACCGUCAUCACGUCCUAUACAACAUUAAAAAAAGUGACACAAGAGAGCUAAAAUGAAAGAAUGAAGCGGUUCCUAUUGUCGGCGUGUGUGUGUGUGUGUAACUACAUCGGUUUAGAAAAAGUUACUCCUCAUUUGUUGAAGACCUUCAACGCGUUAAAUGGAUAAACGUCCGUCUUCAAGUUAUCUCAAUUACUGAGGUUUAGGAAACAGAAAGAAAGCCACCCUUGAUGUUCACGUAACACCUUCAAUGAAGCAAGUGUUGUUGCACGAGGGUGACAGGAAGUGAACCCCCAACAACUGUUCUGCUCCGUGUCUGAACCUCCAGUCCGAUCCGUCAGAAUAUGAAAACCGCCAAAGAGCAAAAACUAAAUGAAAAUGAUUGAUUCCUCUUUUUUUAAAUUACUUAAAUCAAUUUCUAUUGAACGACUUAAAACCCACGCGGGCUGACUCAGAGCUGUAGACAUUGAGGCAUAAUGAAUAAUAAAUGACAGGACGAGGGGAUAAUAAUAAAAUGUCAAAGGGAGAAUUCCUGUUGAUUCAGUGAGACCCGGCAGGAAGAAGAAAGGAGGCAGAAUGCGUUUAAAGUUAAUGCAAACGGUGUUGCACAGGAACAGAAGAACAGAGAAUCGCAAGAGAUGAAGGCAGAGAAGAACGACAAGUAAUGAAAAAGAAAGGGAAGGGAUUCACGCAGACGGACGCACCAGGAGAAAAGGCCAGAAGAAGAGAGGCGGCGAAGGCGCCUCGAGCCGGUGAUGCGGCGUCGAGCGCGAGUUCAAUCUCUGGCUGGCUGAGCGGCCGUGGGCCUCCUUCAAGCCGCCGCCGCCGCCUCGUCUCAGGCUCCACGCGCAGCUUUUGCUGGUGAAUAAACGGACACGCUGUCUUUUUUCUCACCGACAUCAACACCCAUGUAAAAAACACACGCACAGAAAGGCCGAUAAACAAACGUCCCGCGACUGUCCCCCGGCAAUGGAAAUGUCUUUUGACCUGGACGUUUGAUUCUGCGCACGGUGAGUCCGCUACUAGAAGCUUAUGAGGUAUAUUUGUGUCUUUACUUUAUUGCAUAAUAAAGACAAAUAUACCUUCAUAGUCUGUGGGCGCCGUCCCUCCAUCUUCUGCUUGAGCGGGUGGGAAAAUGUCUCCAAUGCUCUUCGUUUCUCCCGCUUCCUCUCCCCUCCCCCGUCCACCCUCCUUUAUCCCUCAUUCCCACCGAGGUGCUCCUUCCAUCUCACCCUCUCCCGACAAUAUGCUGGCUCAUCAGCAUUUAAAGGAGCAGGAACUCCAAACUGUGGAGGUGCUGUUUUAAAUGAUCCUUGUGGUAUUUUGACCAAAGCACGAAUGUCACUCAGGCUCCGUUGUUUACUUCUCUUGUGUUUUUUUUUCUCACUUUUAACAAUUUCAUCCGUCCCUUCCUUCCUCCAUCCAUAUUCAGGCAUCAUUUGAUUAAUAAACUGAUAUCAAAUAAAAGACAUGUUUUGGGAAGUAUAACGUUUGGUGGUCUGUGACAAUGACGGUUUGAUCCACUCAUGCAGAAAAGCGAAUGCGCCUGCAGGGAAAAGUAAGAGAGGACAGAAAGAAAGAGGAACAGAACACAUGAAAAAGAGGAGAUGAGAUGAGAUGAGAAUGAAACAGAAGAGAGCAACAGGAGCAUCGCUAACAGAUAUUAUCUGUAUACAUUAUGAAACUCUUUUUAUUCUUUUACCUCACACAGAAAAAAAGACAACAUUACUGUUGACGUUGUAACACACACACACACACACACACACACACACACACACACGCACCG